Molecule: unclassified non-coding RNA, 349 nt
Filed under: Hevea brasiliensis (rubber tree)
Lineage: Eukaryota; Viridiplantae; Streptophyta; Magnoliopsida; Malpighiales; Euphorbiaceae
Source: RNAcentral
AAAGGAAGAAGAACAACUAUAAUCAAGGAAGGCGAAGGAUGAACAGUAGGACUUGUAUGGCUCAGCGUGAGGAUGUAAUUAGGAGGACUGUUUAUGUUUCUGACAUUGAUCAACAGGUUACUGAAGAACAGCUUGCGGGUCUCUUUGUUCAUUGUGGGCAGGUGGUUGAUUGUCGAAUAUGUGGUGAUCCUAAUUCUGUUCUUCGAUUUGCCUUCAUUGAAUUCACGGAUGAAGAAGGGGCUAAGGCUGCUUUAAAUUUGUCUGGGACAGUGCUUGGAUAUUACCCGCUUAGGGUACUGCCUUCCAGAACUGCAAUUGCUCCUGUUAACCCCACAUUUUUGCCAAGGUC